UCGCCUGUUUUAUCAAAAACAUUGCUUUUAGCUUUAUUUAUUAAAAGUAGAUCUGCCCAGUGAAGUAAUUAUAAACCUAAUCUUUCAACGGCCGCGGUAUCCCUGACCGUGCUAAGGUAGCACAAUCAUGUGCCUCUUAAUUAGAGGAUAGAAUGAAUGAAUUAACAAGAAAUAAACUGUCUCUUUUAUAAACAUCGAAAUUUAGAUUUAGGUGAAAACUCCUAAAUUUACUAUAAAGACAGAAAGACCCUAUAAGCUAAUAUUAUAAUACUUUAUUAGUAAAAAAAUAUUUUAUUGGGGCGAUUUUAAGAUUAAAACACUUGUUAAAUAAAGGGCAAUAAACCAAUCAACCUAUCCAAUAGCAUAUAAGUAAGUUACUAUAGGGAUAACAGACUAAUACUUCUUAAGAGCACACAUCAACAGAAGUGCUUAGUACCUCGAUGUUGGCUUAAGGAUCCUAAUUAAUGCAGAAGUUAAAAAGGGAGGUUUGUUCAACCUUUAAUUCCUUACAUGAUCUGAGUUC
This 523-nucleotide ribosomal RNA is filed under the name Syllis vittata. RNAcentral's name for it is "partial 16S ribosomal RNA". It matches the Rfam family "Bacterial large subunit ribosomal RNA", at positions 1796 to 2612 of the family's 2925-position model. The record is from RNAcentral. Lineage: Eukaryota; Metazoa; Annelida; Polychaeta; Phyllodocida; Syllidae.